GCGCUCGUAGCUCAACUGGAUAGAGCAUCUGACUACGGAUCAGAAGGCUGUGAGUUCGAAUCCCGCCGAGCGCACCA
This 77-nucleotide transfer RNA is filed under the name Alphaproteobacteria bacterium. Its description in RNAcentral is "tRNA-Arg". It matches the Rfam family "tRNA". Rfam says of the family: Transfer RNA (tRNA) molecules are approximately 80 nucleotides in length. Lineage: Bacteria; Pseudomonadati; Pseudomonadota; Alphaproteobacteria. RNAcentral also lists the same sequence under 1 other name. The record is from RNAcentral.